This 1148-nucleotide long non-coding RNA is filed under the name Vulpes vulpes (red fox). Its description in RNAcentral is "lncRNA (ENSVVUG00000021384.1)". The record is from RNAcentral. Lineage: Eukaryota; Metazoa; Chordata; Mammalia; Carnivora; Canidae.
GAGCGAGUUCCAAACCUAGGCCUCAACACGUUUGCUUAUUUCUGCUUGCUUUUAGACCUUUGCUGUUGCCAGAACAUAGCUCAGGAUAGCCCACUGGACUCCAAAGGAGGAUGAAGGAAAAGUGGUGCAGAGUUGAGACCAUAGCAAAACUCAGCCUAGAUCAGCCAACUCCCAGGUAUGUGAGCAAGCAAAUCGGAGAUUGACAGAGUUGCCCAGGCUAUCCCAGAUUAGAUCAACCAAUCCUUGGAUGUGUGAGCCAGUACAUCUGUGAUAAGAACUGUCCAGCUGAGCCUGACCUAGAUACACCAACCCUUAGAUGUAUGAGCAAACAAAAUUGUGAUUAGCAGAUCUGUCCUGCAGCUUCCAGCCUUGAUUACUUGAGCCACAGUGUUGUGAGCCAAACAAAAUGCUUACCAUUUAUGCCACUGAGAUUUUGUGUUGGUUUGCCACAUAGUGCUACUGUGGCCAUAGUUGACUGAUAAGUUGUGUACAAACAUGUAAAAAGUUCUGUAAUAUUAUGUCAUAACAAGAAUUCUAUUAUCACGAGUGAAGACCAAACAGAUUUACAUUAUCUAUAUCUAUUUAUGUUACCUGUAUUUAUUAUCAUGAAUGAAGACCAAACAGAUUUGCAGAAUAUUACACAGAUGUGUACAAUCUGAAUGAUUUUAUUUCCAUCUCUCAACCUGUUUACUUAUCAUAACUCUAAAACUAACUAUAUUGUCUAAUAAAAAUUGUCAGGAAUUAAGCCAACUAUGAGAAUCUAAAUUCCUGAAAAUCUAAAUCUAAAUUCAGAAAGCUCUUGUUUUAAAUCACAAUUUUAGGCAUCCAGUUGUUUAUAUGAAAGUUACUCUUCAACAUUCAGCCUUGGAUUUCGGAGGAAGAGGAUACGUGGAGUUAUUGUACACAGUCCUGGAAGCCAUAUCUGUGCAGAUUUCUACAUAUUAACAUGCAGUUAGCAUUUGACCUGAAAGGGCUGGGAAUGACCAUCAUAAGAACACUCUCAACUCCUGGAGAAAGAGGUUGCAGAAAGCAUGGUGGCAUUGGCUCUCAGAGGAGUCAAGACCUUGGGGGUUAGCAGGUAUGACUUUAGCACAGUGACAGUUGAGCAGUGGUAAUAGUUGUAGUGAUGCUGAUGGUAAGAAAUGGGU